RNAcentral lists this ribosomal RNA (419 nucleotides) under uncultured Prevotella sp. Its description in RNAcentral is "bacterial SSU rRNA". It matches the Rfam family "Bacterial small subunit ribosomal RNA", at positions 358 to 774 of the family's 1533-position model. The record is from RNAcentral. Lineage: Bacteria; Pseudomonadati; Bacteroidota; Bacteroidia; Bacteroidales; Prevotellaceae.
GGAAUAUUGGUCAAUGGGCGAGAGCCUGAACCAGCCAAGUAGCGUGCAGGACGACGGCCCUAUGGGUUGUAAACUGCUUUUGGAGGGGAAUAAAGUGGCGUACGUGUACGUUUUUGUAUGUACCCUCAGAAUAAGGACCGGCUAAUUCCGUGCCAGCAGCCGCGGUAAUACGGAAGGUCCGGGCGUUAUCCGGAUUUAUUGGGUUUAAAGGGAGCGCAGGCUGGAGAUUAAGCGUGACGUGAAAUGUCCCGGCUCAACCGGGGAGUUGCGUCGCGAACUGGUUUUCUUGAGUGCGGACGAGGUAUGCGGAAUUCGUGGUGUAGCGGUGAAAUGCUUAGAUAUCACGAAGAACCCCGAUUGCGAAGGCAGCGUACCAGGCCGUAACUGACGCUAAUGCUCGAAGGUGCGGGUAUCGAACA